GAUGAACGCUGGCGGCGUGCUUAACACAUGCAAGUCGAACGGAAAGGCUCCUGCUUGCAGGGGUACUCGAGUGGCGAACGGGUGAGUAACACGUGGGUGAUCUGCCCUGCACUUCGGGAUAAGCCUGGGAAACUGGGUCUAAUACCGGAUAGGACGAUUGUUUGGAUGCCAUUGUGGACAGUUUUUUCGGUGUGGGAUGAGCUCGCGGCCUAUCAGCUUGUUGGUGGGGUAAUGGCCUACCAAGGCGUCGACGGGUAGCCGGCCUGAGAGGGUGUACGGCCACAUUGGGACUGAGAUACGGCCCAGACGGCUACGGGAGGCAGCAGUGGGGAAUAUUGCACAAUGGGCGCAAGCCUGAUGCAGCGACGCCGCGUGGGGGAUGACGGCCUUCGGGUUGUAAACUCCUUUCGCUAGGGACGAAGCGCAAGUGACGGUACCUGGAGAAGAAGCACCGGCUAACUACGUG
Molecule: ribosomal RNA, 466 nt
Filed under: uncultured bacterium
Lineage: Bacteria
Description: partial 16S ribosomal RNA
Rfam family: Bacterial small subunit ribosomal RNA
Source: RNAcentral